Molecule: non-coding RNA, 887 nt
Organism: Sturnus vulgaris (Common starling)
Lineage: Eukaryota; Metazoa; Chordata; Aves; Passeriformes; Sturnidae
Source: RefSeq, a predicted model, not a curated record
ACUGGCCGGGCACGAUGCCAGGCUCAGAGGCAGCCGGCAGUGCGGGACUUCCUGGCAGCCAGGCCGGGCUUCCUGUUUGCUCUGCCCGCCAGCCCCCCAGCUUCAGGCACAGCCUUAUAAGGACUUUUCUGUGGGCUCAGCACAGAAUUCAGCUCUUUCCUCUACCAGCUGAGAGAGAUGGGACGGACAACAGGCCUGUAGGCGCCAGCAGCCCCAGGGCAGGACUGGUUCCCACUUCCCAGGACCUACCACUCGUCAUGUGAGACACUUUGGCGAGCUUCUUCAUGACGUUAUCAAGGCGCGACUGAGUGCUGUCCAACUCGUGGGAGAAGUCAUCCAGCAUCCUGAGGACACAGAAGCAGGGCACUGGUCAGCAUGUGGAAAUCCCUUGGGGAUUUUGCAGCACGCUCACACACAUGGAUCAAAAUACUGAUGUGAGCAGAGUAUCACCUUGGCAGACAAAAUGAAUGUGGCCUCCUCUCCUGGAAGCACCCAAGGGAGGGGAAGAACCUGCUGAAACAGCAGCUCUGCUUUGGUGGGAAGUAACUCAGGAUUCCUGCCAGACUGAUCCUCCCCGUGUGUUUGUGGCUGUACUCUACACCCAUCUGCAAGGUGAGGAAUGGGAGGGGCUUCCUCCUUACAAAAGGAAAGUCUCAUUUAUAAUCUGUGAUUAGCAGAGACUAGUUAAAUCUAUGUGUCAGCUUGGACUUGAAAUCUCUUUUCUUGUUCAGGGCUUGUAGUUUAAAGUAAAAUCUUGUUUCAGUCAUGUAUCAAGUGGGAAUGAGAUCAGCAGUUGCUUUUAAGGUGCUUUUUAAGCUCUGCAUGGAAGUUACCUUUUUACUUCCUCCACACAGCGACUGUAAUAAAUCUGAAAGCCUUCCUGAAUC